CUCCUACGGGAGGCAGCAGUGGGGAAUAUUGCACAAUGGGCGCAAGCCUGAUGCAGCCAUGCCGCGUGUAUGAAGAAGGCCUUCGGGUUGUAAAGUACUUUCAGCAGUGAGGAAGGUGGAUAUGUUAAUAGCAUAUUCAUUUGACGUUAGCUGCAGAAGAAGCACCGGCUAACUCCGUGCCAGCAGCCGCGGUAAUACGGAGGGUGCGAGCGUUAAUCGGAAUUACUGGGCGUAAAGCGCAUGCAGGUGGUUUGUUAAGUCAGAUGUGAAAGCCCGGGGCUCAACCUCGGAAUUGCAUUUGAAACUGGCAAACUAGAGUACUGUAGAGGGGGUAGAAUUUCAGGUGUAGCGGUGAAAUGCGUAGAGAUCUGAAGGAAUACCGGUGGCGAAGGCGGCCCCCUGGACAGAUACUGACACUCAGAUGCGAAAGCGUGGGGAGCAAACAGGAUUAGAUACCCUGGUAG
Molecule: ribosomal RNA, 464 nt
Filed under: uncultured bacterium
Lineage: Bacteria
Description: bacterial SSU rRNA
Rfam family: Bacterial small subunit ribosomal RNA
Source: RNAcentral